Molecule: ribosomal RNA, 619 nt
Filed under: Undibacterium sp. Se3Pw_3511
Lineage: Bacteria; Pseudomonadati; Pseudomonadota; Betaproteobacteria; Burkholderiales; Oxalobacteraceae
Description: bacterial SSU rRNA
Rfam family: Bacterial small subunit ribosomal RNA
Source: RNAcentral
UGCCGCGUGCGUGAAGAAGGCCUUCGGGUUGUAAAGCUCUUUUGUCAGGGAAGAAACGGUGGUUCCUAAUACGGACUGCUAAUGACGGUACCUGAAGAAUAAGCACCGGCUAACUACGUGCCAGCAGCCGCGGUAAUACGUAGGGUGCAAGCGUUAAUCGGAAUUACUGGGCGUAAAGCGUGCGCAGGCGGUUUUAUAAGUCUGAUGUGAAAUCCCCGGGCUCAACCUGGGAACUGCAUUGGAGACUGUAAGGCUAGAGUGUGUCAGAGGGGGGUAGAAUUCCACGUGUAGCAGUGAAAUGCGUAGAUAUGUGGAGGAAUACCGAUGGCGAAGGCAACCCCCUGGGACAACACUGACGCUCAUGCACGAAAGCGUGGGGAGCAAACAGGAUUAGAUACCCUGGUAGUCCACGCCCUAAACGAUGUCUACUAGUUGUCGGGUCUUAAUUGACUUGGUAACGCAGCUAACGCGUGAAGUAGACCGCCUGGGGAGUACGGUCGCAAGAUUAAAACUCAAAGGAAUUGACGGGGACCCGCACAAGCGGUGGAUGAUGUGGAUUAAUUCGAUGCAACGCGAAAAACCUUACCUACCCUUGACAUGUAAGGAAUCUCGAAGAGAU